RNAcentral lists this ribosomal RNA (250 nucleotides) under uncultured bacterium. RNAcentral describes it as "partial 16S ribosomal RNA". It matches the Rfam family "Bacterial small subunit ribosomal RNA", at positions 524 to 773 of the family's 1533-position model. The record is from RNAcentral.
UACGUAGGGGGCAAGCGUUAUCCGGAUUUACUGGGUGUAAAGGGAGCGUAGACGGUGAUGUAAGUCAGAUGUGAAAGCCCGGGGCUCAACCCCGGGACUGCAUUUGAAACUAUGUUGCUAGAGUGCAGGAGAGGUAAGUGGAAUUCCUAGUGUAGCGGUGAAAUGCGUAGAUAUUAGGAGGAACACCAGUGGCGAAGGCGGCUUACUGGACUGUAACUGACGUUGAGGCUCGAAAGCGUGGGGAGCAAAC